AGUCACUAGAUUGCUAUGGACAUAUUGGAUUUUCUGCUUGUGACAGGAUAUUUGCUCUGGCAACUGUUUUAAGUUCUGUUCUGAUCUACAAUCUUCCUGAAACAAUUCGUGAAGCCGAUAUAUCGAGACUUUCAUUUGCCGUCGAAAUUGCUGAAGAAUUCUAUGGAAGAGUCAAGGGGCAAGAUGUUUCUUUUGAGCCAGCCAAACUUCUGUGGUUGAUCCAGAGGGAUUUUCUCC
Molecule: long non-coding RNA, 237 nt
Organism: Zea mays
Lineage: Eukaryota; Viridiplantae; Streptophyta; Magnoliopsida; Poales; Poaceae
Exons: 4
Source: RefSeq, a predicted model, not a curated record